UACGUAGGGUGCGAGCGUUGUCCGGAAUUAUUGGGCGUAAAGGGCUCGUAGGCGGUCUGUUGCGUCAGGAGUGAAAACUCGGGGCUUAACCCCGAGCCUGCUUCUGAUACGGGCAGACUAGAGGUAUGCAGGGGAGAACGGAAUUCCUGGUGUAGCGGUGAAAUGCGCAGAUAUCAGGAGGAACACCGAUUGCGAAGGCAGCUCGCUGGGACGUUACUGACGCUGAGACGCGAAAGCGUGGGGAGCAAACAGG
This 253-nucleotide ribosomal RNA is filed under the name uncultured bacterium. Its description in RNAcentral is "partial 16S ribosomal RNA". It matches the Rfam family "Bacterial small subunit ribosomal RNA", at positions 524 to 776 of the family's 1533-position model. The record is from RNAcentral.